Molecule: long non-coding RNA, 2829 nt
Filed under: Sus scrofa (pig)
Lineage: Eukaryota; Metazoa; Chordata; Mammalia; Artiodactyla; Suidae
Description: lncRNA (ENSSSCG00025023211.1)
Source: RNAcentral
CUGGAAUCCACUGUGCCUGGCCAGGGGUGGAACCUGCAUCCUGGUGCUGCAGAGAUGCCACUGGUCCUGUUGCACCACAGCAGGAAUUCCUGUAUGUUUGGUUUUUUUGCUUUUGUCUUUCAUAAGCCUGGAAAAGGGGAGUUCUGGCACAGUGAAGCAUUUGCCUUUGGUAUUUAGUGCUUCCUGGGAAGUCAGGAAAAAGGUCACUGGCCCACAGAACAUCACAGAAAGCAAAGUCAAUAUCUGGGACCAUUCUGAGUAGUGCCAAGGAGUGGAUGACCAAUCAUUUUUCCUUUUUUUUGGGGGGGGGGCGCUGCACCUGUGGCAUAUCGAGGUUCCUAGGCUAGCGGUCAAACCAGAGCUGCAGCUGCCGGCCUACACGACAGCCACAGCAACGUGGGAUCUGAGCAGUGUCUGUGACCCACACUGCAUCUCAUGGCAUCACUGGAUCCUUAACACACUGAGCGAGGCCAGCAGCUGUAGCUCUGAUUCGAGUCCUGGCCUGGGAACUUCCAUGUGCUGAAAGUGCAGCCCUUAAAAAUAAUAAAAAACCCCAAAACCAAAAAACAAAACAAAACUCUGAUAACUAAAAAAGGCCAUGGUGGGGUCUCUACUAGUUGUUAUCCUAAAGCAAGAGUGACCAGAGCAACAGGGAAUAUAACAUCAUCUUAUUCUAAGUGCUUCUCAAGGCAGCCUGUUUAACAUGUAUGUAUUCAUGGUAUCUAUAUAAACACACACACACACACACACACACACACACACACACACACACACACACACACANACAGAGUUUCCUCUAAUUGCAACUUAAGAAGAAUAGGUCCGAAGUGGGAAACUACAGUAGAAAUCAGAAAAGGAUAGAAAUUAUUCUUGAAUCAGAAUGCUCACACAGGAAUCAACGGAGUACCUAGAAAUGCUAGCCUGUCCCCAUUUAAUCUACUUUCUCAUCACAGGAAGGUAGGGAGCAUCUUUUAAUACCAGGGCAGGUGCCAGGUGAUUAAUUAGAAAGGGCCUUGGAGAAAUUGUAGAAUAAUGUAGAAUAAUAAAAUUGUAGAAUAAUAAAAAUACUUUUUAUCAGCAAAGAAGUAAAAGUUGAGAGUGGUUCAAGCUUUGAACGCUAGAGCCGGGCAGCUGGUGGAGAGAAACUGAAGAUGUUACUCAGAGGCAGGCAUCCCAGGUAAGAAGGCACCUGGGGAGUUUAUUAUUGUUACUUCAUUGAUAUCUAAGGGGAUGGGAAGGAGACUGCAGUUGAAUCACAAAGGAAAACACAGUAACACAAAGCAGUGUCUUCAAAUUUAAAACAGGUAUAGCAUAAAUAGCAAUGGAACAGGAAAAAACCAUAAGAAAAACAGAACGAAAGUUACUGUUAAACAAUUGAGGCCAGACUCCAUAGAGAGUUGUCUAUUUAAGGGCCUCAAAUAAUCUGAAGUUUCAGAGAUCUAGAGCUUUCUGGGUCCAUGGCCAAAGCAUUUUGGUGGUGGCAGAUAAACGAAUGGCCCUGACCACUGUGGAUUUGGAAGCUGCACCCAGGUCAAGCCUCUGUGCUCUUAUAUCUUCGAUGUCCCUGAAAGUACCAGAAAAGGAGAGGUCCCGAGAGGCCCUGCACUCCAAGGAUGACCAGCAACACAACGCAACUUCUACUACAAUGAAUGAACCUGGUCACGGGUGGCAGUCAGCAGUAUGUUUCAGAGCAUGUCAGAAACCUUGGCCGGUCAGUAUUAAAAAGGAACUUUCUGGAGAACUGCACAUAGGUAUAAAAAUGUGAUGGUGCCUCUGUUUUUUGCUAUAUAUUUUUUAAAAAAUAUGUUCUGGAGUUCCCAUUGUGGCUCCCCCAGUGUCAACAAACCUGACUAGUAUCCAAGAGGCUGAGGGUUUGAUCCCUGGCCUCACUCAGUGGGCUAAGGAUCUGGUGUUAAUGUAAGUUGUGGUGUAGGUCACAGACAUGGCUUGGAUCCUUCAUUGUGGCAGCUGUGGUGUAGACUGGCAGCUACAGCUCCGAUUUGACCCCUAGCCUGGGAACUUCCAUAUGCUGUGGUGCGGCCCUAUAAAGGCUAAAAAAAAAAAAAGUCCAGAAGAACAAUAAACAUCUUUAGGUGAGAAUUUGAGUACUAGGCAUAAAAGAGACAUCCAAUCCAAUACAGGCUUUUUUUUUUGAACUAAGAAAAUGAAUCUCUUCUUUGAAAAAACUAAUUUAGGUCUUUGAAGUCUAUGGGAAACUCACUUUAGCACAAAGGACUACAUAAAGGUAGGUGGGGCUUUAUUGACCUCCAAGUGCUGAGCGAAAUUAAUAAAGUAUCACACUGGCAGACAGAAAAAAAAAAUCCAUAUAAGGGAUUUGAAAAAUUGGAGACAGGGAAACGUAAUUUAGGUCUGAGUUACAGAGCUUUCCUAACAAAAAGUCCACCUGGGUCUCAGGUCUGAACACUGGCUCCUGCAGAAUCUUAGAGAACUUGGAGAUGGUAGCCACCAAUGCUUCUGCUAAAAUGUUCACUGUAGGAUUUGUCCAUGACAUUGUUUUGGCUCACAUGGCAGACAAGCUAGUGCUUAAUGAUAGGCAACUAGGAUGGGCCACAAGGCUGGGAAGAACCACAGUAGAAACAACUGCUAUUGAAAAAAAUCAGUAAGUGGAUGUAUAAUCACUGUCAUUUUACUCUCCUUUUGGGGGCUGGUCAGGAAAUACAAUCCUAAAAUCACUUUUUGGCUUAAUCAAAUUAUAUCCUUUAUUGCCCAGUGGCUUAAGCAAUAAAUGUUACUGAAAGGACUAAUUUAAGAUCUGAAUUUAUUUUAAUUAGUCUUCGUAAUACCGCAGCAGGUGUGGGUCUAUGUAUA